GACGAACGCUGGCGGCGUGCUUAACACAUGCAGGUCGAACGGAAAGGCCCUGCUUUUGUGGGGUGCUCGAGUGGCGAACGGGUGAGUAACACGUGAGUAACCUGCCCUUGACUUUGGGAUAACUUCAGGAAACUGGGGCUAAUACCGGAUAGGAGCUCCUGCUGCAUGGUGGGGGUUGGAAAUUUUCGGCGGUUGGGGAUGGACUCGCGGCUUAUCAGCUUGUUGGUGGGGUAGUGGCUUACCAAGGCUUUGACGGGUAGCCGGCCUGAGAGGGUGACCGGCCACAUUGGGACUGAGAUACGGACCAGACUCCUACGGGAGGCAGCAGUGGGGAAUAUUGCACAAUGGGCGGAAGCCUGAUGCAGAAACGCCGCGUGCGGGAUGACGGCCUUCGGGUUGUAAACCGCUUUCGCCUGUGACGAAGCGUGAGUGACGGUAAUGGGUAAAGAAGCACCGGCUAACUACGUG
RNAcentral lists this ribosomal RNA (468 nucleotides) under uncultured bacterium. RNAcentral's name for it is "partial 16S ribosomal RNA". It matches the Rfam family "Bacterial small subunit ribosomal RNA", at positions 28 to 507 of the family's 1533-position model. The record is from RNAcentral.